RNAcentral lists this ribosomal RNA (389 nucleotides) under uncultured Nitrospina sp. RNAcentral's name for it is "bacterial SSU rRNA". It matches the Rfam family "Bacterial small subunit ribosomal RNA", at positions 29 to 410 of the family's 1533-position model. Lineage: Bacteria; Pseudomonadati; Nitrospinota; Nitrospinia; Nitrospinales; Nitrospinaceae. The record is from RNAcentral.
AACGAACGCUGGUGGCGUGCUUAACACAUGCAAGUCGAACGAGAAAGUUUCCUUCGGGAAAUUAGUAAAGUGGCGCAAGGGUGAGUAUCACGUGAAUAAUCUGCCCUCGAGAUCGGGAUAACAUGGUGAAAACUAUGCUAAUACCGGAUAAGACCACAUUUCAUAAGAAAUGCGGUAAAAGGAGUCUCAACCUUCACUCGAGGAUGAGUUCGCGCAACAUUAGCUUGUUGGUGAGAUAAAAGCUCACCAAGGCUACGAUGUUUAGCCGGCCUGAGAGGGUGAUCGGCCACACUGGAACUGAGACACGGUCCAGACUCCUACGGGAGGCAGCAGUGGGGAAUAUUGCGCAAUGGGCGAAAGCCUGACGCAGCAACGCCGUGUGAGCGAUG